CAAAGAGACCGCGAAACCGUUAGGAGGGAAACGAAUGCAGCCCGAUGGGCUUUGAUUGGGUUCAGGGGCGGUGGUACCCGUCUAAGCGKUAGUUCGAAUYUCGACCUUUCGCUCGCUGACGGUCGUCGCUCUGCAUUCCCGUUUGAUAGCCGGCCAACGUCGGUUCGAUCYGGUUCACGCGGACRGUCGGGRAGGUGCCUCAAUGCGUCGCUUCUGCKUUSGCRGGRARRAYUWWGAGCCGUUUGUUCGGCAGCCGGACGUUGCGGACCGAGGAGACGUGUGACGCCUCRCACCGGGCAGUGCAGGCUUGCCGCCCCGGCGGCGGGCCGGAUCUCUUCUGAUCGUUAGGUGGGCGCUGCUGGGACUGUCMGUCAGUGCCAGCUGACGUCCCGUCCUCUCGGUCGGGAGCUGGGUCACGCCUUGCGCUGCAGUCGCUGGCUAAAGAAAGGCUGCAUUCGA
This 459-nucleotide small RNA is filed under the name Phakellia sp. QM G333266. RNAcentral's name for it is "sequence contains 28S rRNA gene". The record is from RNAcentral. Lineage: Eukaryota; Metazoa; Porifera; Demospongiae; Axinellida; Axinellidae.